UACGUAGGUCCCGAGCGUUGUCCGGAUUUAUUGGGCGUAAAGCGAGCGCAGGUGGUUUAAUAAGUCUGAUGUAAAAGGCAGUGGCUCAACCAUUGUGUGCAUUGGAAACUGUUAGACUUGAGUGCAGUAGAGGAGAGUGGAAUUCCAUGUGUAGCGGUGGAAUGCGUAGAUAUAUGGAAGAACACCGGUGGCGAAAGCGGCUCUCUGGACUGUAACUGACACUGAGGCUCGAAAGCGUGGGUAGCAAACAGG
Molecule: ribosomal RNA, 252 nt
Filed under: uncultured microorganism
Description: partial 16S ribosomal RNA
Rfam family: Bacterial small subunit ribosomal RNA
Source: RNAcentral